AUACGGAGGGUGCAAGCGUUAUUCGGAAUCACUGGGCGUAAAGGGUCCGUAGGCGGGCAAUUAAGUCAGAGGUGAAAUCCCACAGCUCAACUGUGGAACUGCCUUUGAUACUGGUUGUCUUGAAUUAUAGUGAAGUAGAUAGAAUAUGUAGUGUAGCGGUGAAAUGCUUAGAUAUUACAUAGAAUACCGAUUGCGAAGGCAGUCUACUAACUGUAUAUUGACGCUGAUGGACGAAAGCGUGGGGAGCGAACAGGAUUAGAAACCCUAGUAGUCC
RNAcentral lists this ribosomal RNA (274 nucleotides) under uncultured bacterium. Its description in RNAcentral is "partial 16S ribosomal RNA". It matches the Rfam family "Bacterial small subunit ribosomal RNA", at positions 523 to 796 of the family's 1533-position model. The record is from RNAcentral.